AACGAACGCUGGCGGCGCGCCUAAUACAUGCAAGUCGAGCGAGAAGGUGUAGCAAUACACUUGUAAAGCGGCGAACGGGUGAGGAAUACAUGGGUAACCUACCCUCGAGUGGGGAAUAACUAGCCGAAAGGUUAGCUAAUACCGCAUACGAUUCCCGGACUUCGGUUCGGGAAAGAAAGCGAUACCGUGGGUAUCGCGCUCCUGGAUGGGCUCAUGUCCUAUCAGCUUGUUGGUGAGGUAACGGCUCACCAAGGCUUCGACGGGUAGCUGGUCUGAGAGGACGAUCAGCCACACUGGCACUGCGACACGGGCCAGACUCCUACGGGAGGCAGCAGUAAGGAAUAUUGCGCAAUGGGCGACAGCCUGACGCAGCGACGCCGCGUGGGGGAUGAAGGUCUUCGGAUUGUAAACCCCUUUCGGGAGGGAAGAUGGGAUGGGUAACCAUUCGGACGGUACCUCCAGGAGCAGCCACGGCUAACUUCGUGCCAGCAGCCGCGGUAAUACGAAGGUGGCAAGCGUUGUUCGGAUUCACUGGGCGUACAGGGAGCGUAGGCGGUUGGGUAAGCCCUCCGUGAAAUCUCCGGGCCUAACCCGGAAAGUGCAGAGGGGACUGCUCGGCUAGAGGAUGGGAGAGGAGCGCGGAAUUCCCGGUGUAGCGGUGAAAUGCGUAGAGAUCGGGAGGAAGGCCGGUGGCGAAGGCGGCGCUCUGGAACAUUUCUGACGCUGAGGCUCGAAAGCGUGGGGAGCAAACAGGAUUAGAUACCCUGGUAGUCCACGCCUUAAACUAUGGAUACUAAGUGUCGGCGGGUUACCGCCGGUGCCGCAGCUAACGCAGUAAGUAUCCCGCCUGGGAAGUACGGCCGCAAGGUUG
This 871-nucleotide ribosomal RNA is filed under the name uncultured Nitrospira sp. RNAcentral's name for it is "bacterial SSU rRNA". It matches the Rfam family "Bacterial small subunit ribosomal RNA", at positions 28 to 896 of the family's 1533-position model. The record is from RNAcentral. Lineage: Bacteria; Pseudomonadati; Nitrospirota; Nitrospiria; Nitrospirales; Nitrospiraceae.